This 484-nucleotide ribosomal RNA is filed under the name uncultured bacterium. RNAcentral describes it as "partial 16S ribosomal RNA". It matches the Rfam family "Bacterial small subunit ribosomal RNA", at positions 30 to 507 of the family's 1533-position model. The record is from RNAcentral.
AUUGAACGCUGGCGGCAGGCCUAACACAUGCAAGUCGAGCGGAUGAAGGGAGCUUGCUCCUGGAUUCGGCGGCGGACGGGUGAGUAAUGCCUAGGAAUCUGCCUGGUAGUGGGGGAUAACGUCCGGAAACGGGCGCUAAUACCGCAUACGUCCUGAGGGAGAAAGUGGGGGAUCUUCGGACCUCACGCUAUCAGAUGAGCCUAGGUCGGAUUAGCUAGUUGGUGGGGUAAAGGCCUACCAAGGCGACGAUCCGUAACUGGUCUGAGAGGAUGAUCAGUCACACUGGAACUGAGACACGGUCCAGACUCCUACGGGAGGCAGCAGUGGGGAAUAUUGGACAAUGGGCGAAAGCCUGAUCCAGCCAUGCCGCGUGUGUGAAGAAGGUCUUCGGAUUGUAAAGCACUUUAAGUUGGGAGGAAGGGCAGUAAGUUAACACCUUGCUGUUUUGACGUUACCAACAGAAUAAGCACCGGCUAACUUCGUG